CAUGGCCGUUCUUAGUUGGUGGAGCGAUUUGUCUGGUUAAUUCCGAUAACGAACGAGACUCUAGCCUACUUAAUAGAGAACCGAUUUCCUCUCGUCGGUUACUCUUCUUAGAGGGACAAGCGGCGUUUAGCCGCACGAGACAGAGCAAUAACAGGUCUGUGAUGCCCUUAGAUGUCCGGGGCCGCACGCGCGCUACACUGAAGGAAUCAGCGUGUGUUCACCCUUUCCGAAAGGUAUGGGUAACCCGUUGAACCUCCUUCGUGAUAGGGAUAGGGGCUUGUAACUAUUCCCCUUGAACGAGGAAUUCCCAGUAAGCGCGAGUCAUAAGCUCGCGUUGAUUACGUCCCUGCCCUUUGUACACACCGCCCGUCGCUACUACCGAUUGAAUGAUUUAGUGAGGUCUUCGGACUGGUGCUCGGGGCGGCUUUCGGGUCGCCUCGAUGCACCGGAAAGAUGACCAAACUUGAUCAUUUAGAGGAAGUAAAAGUCGUAACAAGGUUUCC
This 503-nucleotide ribosomal RNA is filed under the name Valdivionyx sp. MCZ IZ 138151. RNAcentral describes it as "SSU rRNA". It matches the Rfam family "Eukaryotic small subunit ribosomal RNA", at positions 1283 to 1804 of the family's 1831-position model. Lineage: Eukaryota; Metazoa; Arthropoda; Arachnida; Opiliones; Triaenonychidae. The record is from RNAcentral.